This 55-nucleotide small RNA is filed under the name Paenibacillus sp. P22. Its description in RNAcentral is "Pseudomonas sRNA P4". The record is from RNAcentral. Lineage: Bacteria; Bacillati; Bacillota; Bacilli; Caryophanales; Paenibacillaceae.
CAAAAACGAACAGCAGGGCCCUCUUCGAAGCGGAGGGCCCUGCUGUUCGUUUUUG